This 397-nucleotide ribosomal RNA is filed under the name Mogibacterium timidum. RNAcentral describes it as "bacterial SSU rRNA". It matches the Rfam family "Bacterial small subunit ribosomal RNA", at positions 43 to 416 of the family's 1533-position model. Lineage: Bacteria; Bacillati; Bacillota; Clostridia; Peptostreptococcales; Anaerovoracaceae. The record is from RNAcentral.
CGUGCCUAAUACAUGCAAGUCGAGCGAGAAGCUUGGGAAUGACGCUUCGGUUGAUUUUCCAAGCGGACAGCGGCGGACGGGUGAGUAACGCGUAGGCAACCUGCCCCUGGCAGAGGGAUAGCCAUUGGAAACGAUGAUUAAAACCUCAUGACACCGUAGUAGCACAUGCUACAUCGGUCAAAGAUUUAUCGGUCAGGGAUGGGCCUGCGUCUGAUUAACUGGUUGGUGAGGUAACGGCUCACCAAGGUGACGAUCAGUAGCCGACCUGAGAGGGUGAUCGGCCACAUUGGAACUGAGACACGGUCCAAACUUCUACGGAAGGCAGCAGUAGGGAAUCUUGCACAAAUGGGCGAAAAGCCCUGAUGCAAGCAAACCGCCGCGUGAAAGGAAGAAAGGC